UUGGCUUGGAAGCAGCCAUUCAUUUAAAGAGUGCGUAACAGCUCACUAGUCGAGGGACUCCGCAUGGAUAAUAAUCGGGCAUAAGCGUAUUACCGAAGCUAUGGAAUAUCAUUGGUAGGGGAGCAUUCCAGUCGCCGCAGAAGAUACACCUUGAGGUGUGUUGGAGGUUCUGGAAAAGCAAAUGUAGGUAUAAGUAACGAUAAAGGGGGCGAGAAACCCCCUCGCCGUAAGACCAAGGCUUCCUGAUCAACGCUAAUCGGAUCAGGGUAAGUCGGGACCUAAGGAUAAUCCGAAAGGAGAGGCCGAUGGAAGAAACGGUUAAUAUUCCGUUACUACGUUAAAUAGUGACGGGGAGACGGAGAAGUGACACAUCCGCCUGCUGACGGAAUAGCAGGUUAAAGAGGGUAGAUAAUGGUGGUAUAGGCAAAUCCGUACAGCCAGUCGAACUUGAUAGUACCGAGCGUCCUCGGACAAUCGGAUAGCGAUGGUAAGCAGGCUCCCAAGAAAAUCCUCUAAACAUAUAUUUAACGUACCCGUACCACAAACGGACACACGUGGUCGAGUAGAACAUACUAAGGCGCUCGAGAGAUUCACGGUUAAGGAACUAGGCAAAUUGACCCUGUAACUUCGGGAAAAAGGGUCCCUGCUGAAAGGCAGGGCGCAGAGAAUAGGUCCAGGCAACUGUUUAACAAAAACACAGGGCUGUGCAAAAUUUAAAGAUGAAGUAUACAGCCUGACACCUGCCCGGUGCUGGAAGGUUAAGAGGAGAAGUCAUUCGCAAGAAGAAGCUUUGAAUUGAAGCCCCAGUAAACGGCGGCCGUAACUAUAACGGUCCUAAGGUAGCGAAAUUCCUUGUCGGGUAAGUUCCGACCUGCACGAAUGGUGUAAUGAUCCGGACACUGUCUCAACCGUGAGCUCGGUGAAAUUGUAGUAUCGGUGAAGAUGCCGAUUACCCGCAACGGGACGAAAAGACCCCGUGAACCUUUACUGCAACUUAACAUUGUAAUUGGGUAUCCGAUGUGUAGGAUAGUCCGGAGGCAGAGAAGCAGGUACGCCAGUAUUUGUGGAGCCGCCCUUGAAAUACGGACCUUUGGCUAUUUGAUUACUAACCCGCAGAAGCGGGGACACUGUUUGGUGGGUAGUUUGACUGGGGUGGUCGCCUCCAAAAGAGUAACGGAGGCUUCUAAAGGUGCCCUCAGGCCGAUUGGUAACCGGUCGCAGAGUGUAAUGGCAAAAGGGCGCUUGACUGAGAGACAUACAAGUCGACCAGGUAGGAAACUAGAGCAUAGUGAUCCGGUGGUUUCGCAUGGAAGAGCCAUCGCUCAAAGGAUAAAAGGUACUCCGGGGAUAACAGGCUGAUCGCUCCCAAGAGCUCAAAUCGACGGA
Molecule: ribosomal RNA, 1386 nt
Filed under: human gut metagenome
Description: bacterial LSU rRNA
Rfam family: Bacterial large subunit ribosomal RNA
Source: RNAcentral